AUCUAGCGGAAGGAAAGAAACUAACCAGGAUUCCCUGAGUAACUGCGAGUGAACAGGGAAAAGCCCAGCACCGAAGCCUGUGGCCAUUUGGUCGCUAGGCAAUGUGGUGUUCAGGUUGUUCCGCGAAGCUACUGCUCCACCCUAAGUCCAUAAAUGAGUACGGUAGUAUGGACCCGGCCCAGAGAGGGUGAAAGGCCCGUGGGGGUGGAGACCAGGCAGGCCAGUAGCUUCCUGGAUAAACCUUGGAGUCGGGUUGUUUGUGAAUGCAGCCCAAAGUGGGUGGUAAACUCCAUCCAAGGCUAAAUACAAGCACGAGUCCGAUAGCGAACAAGUACCGUGAGGGAAAGUUGAAAAGUACUUUGAAGAGAGAGUAAACAGUGCGUGAAACCGGUCAGAGGUAAACGGGUGGAGUUGAACUGCAAGCUCUGGGGAUUCAGCUGGUGAAUGUGGUUUGAGCUUGGUCAAAUUGGUUGGACAUCGGGGUCUGCGUAGCUGCAGGUCUCCGCCCUUCGGGGAGGGGAUGCGCGAUACACUUAUCAAGUGUUGUGCGCCCCGGUGUUCUUCGAGCCGACUCGCCAGUGCACUUUCCCAGAGUGGUCACCACGACCGGCACUGCUGUCUGGCUGUUGCGGUUAAACCGGUGUUGCAUUGUCCCUGUGGCUUUGCUUGAUCGGGAUGGCAGGUAGCUCGUUGACUUGCUUGUGGCUUGCUGCAGGCGUUCAGUCUUCGGGUGUAAUCAGCUGACCGCCUCGGUUCUGUGCGGUGUGUCGGAGACGGCGGCUUUUGCGUGUGCGUGCGUGCCUGUUCGUCUGGUGUGCCCGAGUUCUGGUUGUUAUGUCGCCUGUGGAUGCAGGCCUGAUGAUGGCUCGGGUUCGUGCGGGCGGCGGUUGCGUGCGUGUCACGGUGAUGGGGCCCAUAGUCUGUGGUGUAGUGGUAGACUAUCCACCCGACCCGUCUUGAAACACGGACCAAGGAGAGUAACAUGUGCGCGAGUCAUUGGGCGCUACGAAACCCAGAGGCGCAGUGAAAGUAAAGGUCUGGCUUGUCCUGACUGUGGUGAGAUCCUGUCGUUCCUCAUGCGUGGUACCGUCAAGCAUCGAGCGGCAGGCGCAUCACCGGCCCGUCCCAUGACAAUUGUUUUUCGACAUUACCCAGUCGGGGCGGAGCAUGAGCGA
Molecule: ribosomal RNA, 1175 nt
Filed under: Microphallidae sp. MH4_Aug19_C
Lineage: Eukaryota; Metazoa; Platyhelminthes; Trematoda; Plagiorchiida; Microphallidae
Description: partial large subunit ribosomal RNA
Rfam family: Eukaryotic large subunit ribosomal RNA
Source: RNAcentral